RNAcentral lists this ribosomal RNA (253 nucleotides) under uncultured bacterium. RNAcentral describes it as "partial 16S ribosomal RNA". It matches the Rfam family "Bacterial small subunit ribosomal RNA", at positions 524 to 776 of the family's 1533-position model. The record is from RNAcentral.
UACGUAGGGGCCUAGCGUUGUCCGGAUUUAUUGGGCGUAAAGAGCGUGUAGGCGGUUAGGUAGGUCCGUUGUGAAAACUCGAGGCUCAACCUCGAGACGCCGAUGGAAACCAUCUGACUAGAGUCCGGAAGAGGAGAGUGGAAUUCCUGGUGUAGCGGUGAAAUGCGCAGAUAUCAGGAAGAACACCCGUGGCUAAGGCGGCUCUCUAGUACGUGACUGACGCUGAGACGCGAAAGCGUGGGGAGCGAACAGG